Molecule: long non-coding RNA, 629 nt
Organism: Cavia porcellus (domestic guinea pig)
Lineage: Eukaryota; Metazoa; Chordata; Mammalia; Rodentia; Caviidae
Exons: 3
Source: RefSeq, a predicted model, not a curated record
GAAACCGAUUCUGGAUUUAUGACCUUCAUAACUGUAAGGGAAUCAAUGCGUGCUUUGUUUAAGCUAUCAAGUCUGCAGUAACUAUUGCGGCAGCCAUAGGAGACUCCUACAGGUGGGAGGACGCGGACAGUGUCACCAAAAAUGGCCCCACAGCUUGACCUCUUGUCUUUCUGUGUAAACGAAAACAACACCUUACGUUUUCUCAGGUCUGCAAUCAGAUUCAGGCAAUUUCAGGGGAGGAAACUAUAAUGAAAAUGCAGCUUCGGUAACAUCACCAACUCUGAUGAGAUACAUCUUUUAUGCUGUUUCUAGUAGGAUAAUUUGUUAAUGGACAAACUCAUAAUGUUGAUAGUAUCAAAGAUUAUUUCUACAAAGUCAAACAGAAUAACCCUGUUGGUGUUCAUGAUGGAAUAAAUUGAGAUUUUCAAGCAAUAAAUUGAAAUUUUCAAUCUAAAGUAUCUCAUGUGAGAAAGGGAGCUGAGCAGCUGAGUAAAUAUCCGCUGUCAAAAGUGUGCACAUCAGUGUUUUGGUGUCUUGCUGCACUGUGACAGGCAAAAAAAUUAAAAGAUUGUGAAAAGAAAAAAAUGGACUUCUAAGGUUUAUGCAUAGUGUCUUCAUUAAAAAGUGAC